GGGGUGGCACAGACCAGGGGGUAGCGACUGUUUACCAAAAACACAGGAGCGUGCGAAGGCGCAAGCCGCUGUAUACGCUCUGACGCCUGCCCGGUGCCGGAAGGUUAAGAGGAUCCGUCAGGCUUCGGCCGAAGCGGUGAAUUCAAGCCCCGGUAAACGGCGGUGGUAACUAUAACCAUCCUAAGGUAGCGAAAUUCCUUGUCGGGUAAGUUCCGACCUGCACGAAUGGCGUAACGACUUCCCCACUGUCUCGACCAGGAGCUCGGCGAAAUUGCAGUACGAGUAAAGAUGCUCGUUAAGCGCAGAAGGACGAAAAGACCCCGGGACCUUUACUAUACCUUGGUAUUGGCAUUCGGUGUGGAUUGUGUAGCAUAGGCGGAAGGCUUCGAAGCCACGGCGCCAGCCGCGGUGGAGCCGCAAGGUGAAAUACCGCUCUGUUCGCAUUGGAUGUCUAACCUCGACCAGUCAUCCUGGUCAGGGACAGUGCCUGGCGGGUAGUUUAACUGGGGCGGUUGCCUCCCAAAGAGUAACGGAGGCGCUCAAAGGUUCCCUCAGCCCGGUUGGCAAUCGGGUGGCGAGUGUAAGUGCACAAGGGAGCUUGACUGCGAGACUGACGGGUCGAGCAGGGACGAAAGUCGGAACUAGUGAUCCGGUGCCGGUGUACGGACGCGGCAUCGCUCAACGGAUAAAAGGUACCCCGGGGAUAACAGGCUGAUCAUUCCCAAGAGUCCAUAUCGACGGGAUGGUUUGGCACCUCGAUGUCGGCUCGUCGCAUCCUGGGGCUGGAGCAGGUCCCAAGGGUUCGGCUGUUCGCCGAUUAAAGCGGCACGCGAGCUGGGUUCAGAACGUCGUGAGACAGUUUGGUCUCUAUCCUCUGCGCUCGUCGGAAUGUUGAGGAGGCCUGCCCAUAGUACGAGAGGACCUGGGUGGACGAACCUCUGGUAUGCCGGUUGUCACGCCAGUGGCACGGCCGGUUGGCUACGUUCGGAAGGGAUAACCGCUGAAAGCAUCUAAGCGGGAAGCCUGCUCCAAGAUAAGCAUUCCAUAGGACUACGGGUCCUUGAAGUCCCCAUGCAGAACACGUGGUUGAUAGGCCGGACGUGGAAGCCCCGCGAGGGGUGGAGCCGACCGGUACUAACGGACGAAAGGCAACACAAC
This 1158-nucleotide ribosomal RNA is filed under the name human gut metagenome. RNAcentral describes it as "bacterial LSU rRNA". It matches the Rfam family "Bacterial large subunit ribosomal RNA", at positions 1773 to 2925 of the family's 2925-position model. The record is from RNAcentral.